GUAGUCCUGGCCGUAAACGAUGUCGACUUGGAGGUUGUGCCCUUGAGGCGUGGCUUCCGGAGCUAACGCGUUAAGUCGACCGCCUGGGGAGUACGGCCGCAAGGUUAAAACUCAAAUGAAUUGACGGGGGCCCGCACAAGCGGUGGAGCAUGUGGUUUAAUUCGAUGCAACGCGAAGAACCUUACCUGGUCUUGACAUCCACGGAAGUUUUCAGAGAUGAGAAUGUGCCUUCGGGAACCGUGAGACAGGUGCUGCAUGGCUGUCGUCAGCUCGUGUUGUGAAAUGUUGGGUUAAGUCCCGCAACGAGCGCAACCCUUAUCCUUUGUUGCCAGCGGUCCGGCCGGGAACUCAAAGGAGACUGUUAGUGAUAAACUGGAGGAAGGUGGGGAUGACGUCAAGUCAUCAUGGCCCUUACGACCAGGGCUACACACGUGCUACAAUGGCGCAUACAAAGAGAAGCGACCUCGCGAGAGCAAGCGGACCUCAUAAAGUGCGUCGUAGUCCGGAUUGGAGUCUGCAACUCGACUCCAUGAAGUCGGAACCGCUAGUAAUCGUGGAUCAGAAUGCCACGGUGAAUACGUUCCCGGGCCUUGUACACACCGCCCGUCACACCAUGGGAGUGGGUUGCAAAAGAAGUAGGUAGCUUAACCUUCGGGAGGGCGCUUACCACUUUGUGAUUCAUGACUGGGGUGAAGUCGUAACAAGGUAACCGUAGGGGAACCUGCGGCUGGAUCACCUCC
Molecule: ribosomal RNA, 740 nt
Filed under: uncultured bacterium
Lineage: Bacteria
Description: bacterial SSU rRNA
Rfam family: Bacterial small subunit ribosomal RNA
Source: RNAcentral